Molecule: ribosomal RNA, 262 nt
Filed under: uncultured bacterium
Lineage: Bacteria
Description: partial small subunit ribosomal RNA
Rfam family: Bacterial small subunit ribosomal RNA
Source: RNAcentral
AGAGCGAACGCUGGCGGCGUGCUUAACACAUGCAAGUCGAGUGCGCGCCUGUAGCAAUACAGGUGGCGCACGGCGCACGGGUGCGUAACACGUGGGUAAUCUGCCCUUCGAUGGGGAAUAACUCCGGGAAACCGAAGCUAAUUCCGCAUAACAUUCCUUGGACCUCGGUCUGGGGAUUCAAAGCCGUAAGGCGUCGGAGGAGGAACCCGCGCACGAUUAGUUAGUUGGCAGGGUAACGCCUACCAAGACUUUGAUCGUUAGC